Molecule: microRNA, 22 nt
Filed under: Strongyloides ratti
Lineage: Eukaryota; Metazoa; Nematoda; Chromadorea; Rhabditida; Strongyloididae
Description: str-miR-7880b-3-5p
Source: miRBase by way of RNAcentral
UGGUUGGAUCAGUUUGCAAACA